GAUGAACGCUGGCGGCGUGCCUAAUACAUGCAAGUCGAGCGAACAGACGAGGAGCUUGCUCCUCUGACGUUAGCGGCGGACGGGUGAGUAACACGUGGAUAACCUACCUAUAAGACUGGGAUAACUUCGGGAAACCGGAGCUAAUACCGGAUAAUAUAUUGAACCGCAUGGUUCAAUAGUGAAAGACGGUUUUGCUGUCACUUAUAGAUGGAUCCGCGCCGCAUUAGCUAGUUGGUAAGGUAACGGCUUACCAAGGCAACGAUGCGUAGCCGACCUGAGAGGGUGAUCGGCCAGACGGGAACUGAGACACGGUCCGGACUCCGACGGGAGGCAGCAGUAGGGAAUCUUCCGCAAUGGGCGAAAGCUUGACGGAGCAACGCCGCGGGAGUGAUGAAGGUCUUCGGAUCGUAAAACUCUGUUAUUAGGGAAGAACAAAUGUGUAAGUAACUAUGCACGUCUUGACGGUACCUAAUCAGAAAGCCACGGCUAACUACGUG
Molecule: ribosomal RNA, 497 nt
Filed under: uncultured bacterium
Lineage: Bacteria
Description: partial 16S ribosomal RNA
Rfam family: Bacterial small subunit ribosomal RNA
Source: RNAcentral